Molecule: non-coding RNA, 200 nt
Filed under: Rhodovulum sulfidophilum
Lineage: Bacteria; Pseudomonadati; Pseudomonadota; Alphaproteobacteria; Rhodobacterales; Paracoccaceae
Source: RNAcentral
GCUCUCUGCUCGGUCGCUGGUAUCCCGCUUGGGAAUUAAAAGGGAAUUCGCCGCAGGCCAUUCGGCCUGCGAACCGAAACUGCCCCCGCAACUGUAGGCGGCGAGCGACGGUCCGACAACGCCACUGGGCAUUUGCCUGGGAAGGCCGGACCGCCGGACGACCCGUCAGUCAGGAGACCUGCCGGCAUGAAACCACCAUC